UACGUAGGGUCCGAGCGUUAAUCGGAAUUACUGGGCGUAAAGCGUGCGCAGGCGGUUUUGUAAGCCAGAUGUGAAAGCCCCGGGCUUAACCUGGGAAUGGCAUUUGGGACUGCAAGGCUGGAGUACGGCAGAGGAGACUGGAAUUCCUGGUGUAGCAGUGAAAUGCGUAGAUAUCAGGAGGAAUACCGAUGGCGAAGGCAGGUCUCUGGGCUAACACUGACGCUCAUGCACGAAAGCGUGGGGAGCAAACAGG
This 253-nucleotide ribosomal RNA is filed under the name uncultured bacterium. RNAcentral describes it as "partial 16S ribosomal RNA". It matches the Rfam family "Bacterial small subunit ribosomal RNA", at positions 524 to 776 of the family's 1533-position model. The record is from RNAcentral.